CCCUCUCUGUCUCUCUGUAGAUAGCCCAGCUAGAUGAGGUAUAGACCCUCUCUGUCUCUCUGUAGAUAGCCCAGCUAGAUGAGGUAUUGACCCUCUCUGUCUCUCUGUAGAUCGCCCAGCUAGAUGAGGUAUUGACCCUCUCUGUCUCUCUGUAGAUAGCCCAGCUAGAUGAGGUAUAGACCCUCUCUGUCUCUCUGUAGAUAGCCCAGCUAGAUGAGGUAUUGACCCUCUCUGUCUCUCUGUAGAUCGCCCAGCUAGAUGAGGUAUUGACCCUCUCUGUCUCUCUGUAGAUAGCCCAGCUAGAUGAGGUAUUGACCCUCUCUGUCUCUCUGUAGAUAGCCCAGCUAGAUGAGGUAUAGACCCUCUCUGUCUCUCUGUAGAUAGCCCAGCUAGAUGAGGUAUUGACCCUCUCUGUCUCUCUGUAGAUCGCCCAGCUAGAUGAGGUAUUGACCCUCUCUGUCUCUCUGUAGAUAGCCCAGCUAGAUGAGGUAUAGACCCUCUCUGUCUCUCUGUAGAUAGCCCAGCUAGAUGAGGUAUUGACCCUCUCUGUCUCUCUGUAGAUCGCCCAGCUAGAUGAGGUAUUGACCCUCUCUGUCUCUCUGUAGAUCGCCCAGCUAGAUGAGGUAUUGACCCUCUCUGUCUCUCUGUAGAUCGCCCAGCUAGAUGAGGUAUAGACCCUCUCUGUCUCUCUGUAGAUCGCCCAGCUAGAUGAGGUAUAGACCCUCUCUGUCUCUCUGUAGAUCGCCCAGCUAGAUGAGGUAUAGACCCUCUCUGUCUCUCUGUAGAUCGCCCAGCUAGAUGAGGUAUAGACCCUCUCUGUCUCUCUGUAGAUCGCCCAGCUAGAUGAGGUAUUGACCCUCUCUGUCUCUCUGUAGAUCGCCCAGCUAGAUGAGGUAUAGACCCUCUCUGUCUCUCUGUAGAUCGCCCAGCUA
Long non-coding RNA from Oncorhynchus keta (chum salmon), 932 nucleotides. RefSeq lists it as uncharacterized. The transcript is spliced from 4 exons. The record is from RefSeq and is a predicted model, not a curated record. Lineage: Eukaryota; Metazoa; Chordata; Actinopteri; Salmoniformes; Salmonidae.